UGAAAGGGUGCGGUAAGAGCGCACCGCGUUAAUGGUAACAUUAACGGCAUGGUAAACCCCACCUGGAGCAAGACCAAAUAGGGAAACAAUAGGUGUGGCCCACAUCGUUUCCGGGUAGGUUGCUUGAGAUAGAUGGCGACAUCUAUCCUAGAUGAAUGACUGUUUUUGACAGAACCCGGCUUAUAUGGCUAACUCUUCU
This 199-nucleotide RNase P RNA is filed under the name Pseudomonadota bacterium. RNAcentral describes it as "Proteobacteria bacterium (cold seep metagenome) partial RNase P RNA component class A". It matches the Rfam family "Bacterial RNase P class A", at positions 155 to 367 of the family's 367-position model. From Rfam's summary of the family: Ribonuclease P (RNase P) is a ubiquitous endoribonuclease, found in archaea, bacteria and eukarya as well as chloroplasts and mitochondria. Its best characterised activity is the generation of mature 5'-ends of tRNAs by cleaving the 5'-leader elements of precursor-tRNAs. The record is from RNAcentral. Lineage: Bacteria; Pseudomonadati; Pseudomonadota.